This 65-nucleotide transfer RNA is filed under the name Oncopodura yosiiana. RNAcentral describes it as "tRNA-Asn". The record is from RNAcentral. Lineage: Eukaryota; Metazoa; Arthropoda; Collembola; Entomobryomorpha; Oncopoduridae.
UUAGAAGAAACUAAUAAAUAGUAUAUUACUGUUAAUAAUAUUAAAGAAUAAAAUUCUCUUCUAAA